UGGGUAAAGUACACGUUACUGGUAC
This 25-nucleotide microRNA is filed under the name Drosophila erecta. RNAcentral describes it as "der-miR-992-??". Its record names the gene der-miR-992-??. The record is from miRBase by way of RNAcentral. Lineage: Eukaryota; Metazoa; Arthropoda; Insecta; Diptera; Drosophilidae.